Molecule: small nucleolar RNA, 148 nt
Filed under: Homo sapiens (human)
Lineage: Eukaryota; Metazoa; Chordata; Mammalia; Primates; Hominidae
Description: small nucleolar RNA, C/D box 10 (SNORD10)
Rfam family: Small nucleolar RNA SNORD10
Source: RNAcentral
GCUCUGUGAUGGAGCCCAUGCGUGUCAUCUGAGCCUCUGGCUUCCCUGCCAGUGCAGCCCUGGCAGUGUCCUACUUCCCAGGGCUGUUGUCUGCCUGGCGGGAAGGUCCUGGGCAAAGGAUCAGUCUUUGUACUCUGAGAGCAGACUA